GUGCUAGCUUCAGUGGCACAUAUCCUAAGAUUGGAACAAUACAGAGAUUAGCACGGCUCCUGCGUGAGAAUGACACGCAAAUUUGUGAAGCGUUCCUCUUUUUU
This is a small nuclear RNA of Rattus rattus (black rat), 104 nucleotides long. NCBI's taxonomy places the organism in Eukaryota, Metazoa, Chordata, Mammalia, Rodentia, Muridae. The record is from RefSeq and is a predicted model, not a curated record.